CCGCCAAUAAAAUUUGUGCGAUUGGUCGAAAGAGACCGGCAUAGUAGCAGCCGCAAGACAACCUAAUAUUACGCCCUAUAAGUCUUCAAUUUUUUCCGUCUUAUUAUGCGGCACAGGAACAUGGAAUAUGACGAACCGACGUACUUGAAGCAUUCGAGAGAAUUGUUCUGCGCAAGAUUUUUGGAGCCGUUCUCUUGAGCGAUGAAUACCGAGAAAACGGACAGAGGCAACUGGUGAAGUGUUGUGUUCUCGGCCAAGGGAAUAUUAUGCGAAUUGAGAUAUGGAUCAGGAUCAGACAAAAAAAUUUCUCAAUAUGUUUUUCGAAUCACUUUGGAAUUGGAGUUCUGGACGUUGAUGCUAAGACGCCUUUGGAAAUUACUUCGUUUACUUUUCUUUUGAAACAGAAAUGAUCAACUAUAAAGCGUAAUAUAUUUUAAUAAUCAUAAUAAUCUUUAAUUUUCACAAAAUAGAAAACUUAUACUUGAAGCAUGGUCCCGACGAAACACAGAACGUUCCGUACUGCUUUAAUAUUGGACAGGCCAACAAGUUUUUACUUUUAGGAAGGCACAACUAAGUAAUAAAGUACGAAUCUCUCACUUAGAAACUAGAUGAGUAUUCAAAUUUAAAAGAAAUUGGAGAAGCUAAUGUGGGCAUUUCAUGAAAUGGAGAUGAUGAUAAACACCAAGGACUCACUGGGAAAAUAAUAAUGCUACCUUAAAAACACUGUCACUGUCGAUAAGGCUAUUCUAUCACCUUCGGUUACGCGUAUUUGAAAUGCCUCCAACAACUACUCCAGCACACCUCUAUUAGCCUUCUUUAAAUCAUACGUUUUAUUCGUAUACUCUUUGCAGUUUGGCAUAGAAAAUGUAUUUAUUUCAAUAUUGAUACAAUUUUCUUUAAUACUUUUCGCUUUUACUUUGUUUACAACAAUUAAAUUUGUUCGCAAGAUUGUGUUAAAAUUCCGCAACAGCCCACAAAUAAGAUUUCUGAAAUGUGUUUCGAAUACGUGGAAGAUC
Long non-coding RNA from Bactrocera latifrons, 1016 nucleotides. RefSeq lists it as uncharacterized. The record is from RefSeq and is a predicted model, not a curated record. NCBI's taxonomy places the organism in Eukaryota, Metazoa, Arthropoda, Insecta, Diptera, Tephritidae. The transcript has 3 exons.